CGAGCCGGCCGGGCGGCCGCGUCGGGUCCCUUCGGGGCCCGCCGAGGAAGGUCCGGGCUCCACAGGGCAGGGUGGUCGGUAACGCCGACCCGGGGUGACCCGCGGGACAGUGCCACAGAAAACAGACCGCCCCUCCCUCGCGGGAGGGGUAAGGGUGAAACGGUGGUGUAAGAGACCACCAGCGCCCACGGCGACGUGGGCGGCUUGGUAAACCCCACCUGGAGCAAGGUCAAGAAGGGACGCUCUCCGGAGCGUUCCGCGCGCGACGUUCGAGGGCUGCCCGCCCGAGCCGCGCGGGUAGACCGCUUGAGGCCGCCGGCAACGACGGCCCUAGAUGGAUGGUCGCCCCUUCACGUCAGUGAAGGACAAAACCCGGCCUACAGGCCGACUCGUCCG
This 396-nucleotide RNase P RNA is filed under the name Streptosporangium sandarakinum. Its description in RNAcentral is "Bacterial RNase P class A". It matches the Rfam family "Bacterial RNase P class A". From Rfam's summary of the family: Ribonuclease P (RNase P) is a ubiquitous endoribonuclease, found in archaea, bacteria and eukarya as well as chloroplasts and mitochondria. Lineage: Bacteria; Bacillati; Actinomycetota; Actinomycetes; Streptosporangiales; Streptosporangiaceae. The record is from Rfam by way of RNAcentral.